This 44-nucleotide non-coding RNA is filed under the name Trypanosoma brucei brucei. The record is from RNAcentral. Lineage: Eukaryota; Euglenozoa; Kinetoplastea; Trypanosomatida; Trypanosomatidae.
ACAUAAACGACAAGCAGUAUAAGGUUCUAAGUGAUGUCGAUAAU